This is a long non-coding RNA of Macrobrachium nipponense, 498 nucleotides long. RefSeq lists it as uncharacterized. The record is from RefSeq and is a predicted model, not a curated record. NCBI's taxonomy places the organism in Eukaryota, Metazoa, Arthropoda, Malacostraca, Decapoda, Palaemonidae. The transcript has 3 exons.
AAUUUACCGCUGAGGAGCAAGAAGCUGUCCAAAAGGUUUUACGGCAGAAGCUUGGCUCCUCAUUCAUCAGCCAGAGAAGUGGAGCGGGAGAGGCCAGCGUAUUGCAUACAUUGAAGGAUGGCGACUUAUAUCCCUUGCAAAUGAAGUCUUUGGCUUUAAUGGAUGGAGUCAUUCUGUCACAAAUCAAACCAUUGAUUUUGUGGACCACUAUAACAGUCGUUAUUAUGUGGGAAUCAGCGCUAGGGUACGUGUUCAGUUAAAAGAUGGAGUUUACCAUGAAGACAUUGGUUAUGGUGUUUCAGAAGGCAUGAGAGUAAGGCCUUGUCCAUUGAGAAAGCAAGAAAGGAGGCUGUAACAGAUGGUUUGAAGCGAGCUUUGAAGAGUUUUGGAAAUGCACUAGGAAACUGUCUGAGUAAUAAGGAUUAUCUUCGGUUUAUAGGAAAAGCACCAGCUGCUCCAGUUCCUCAGAUUACAUCUGGAGAUUUGUUAAAUGAAGUU